Molecule: long non-coding RNA, 281 nt
Filed under: Lathyrus oleraceus (garden pea)
Lineage: Eukaryota; Viridiplantae; Streptophyta; Magnoliopsida; Fabales; Fabaceae
Description: Pisum sativum (pea) long non-coding RNA (PSAT_LNC007804)
Source: RNAcentral
UUAAGGCAACCAUACCAGAUCUCCAAAGUUUAAGGAUCCUUUAGGGGUUGAUGCCCAACUCCAUCCAAAGGAAGUUUACGCUCAAAUAUGGGGGGAUUCUUGAUCUCUUGAGGGUCCCUGUGUAGGCAGAGGCAGUUACUGCCUUAACUCAGUUCUAUGAUCCACCCUUGUGAUGUUUCCUCUUUCAAGACUUUCUCCUAGCCCCUACGCUAGAAGAGUUUGAAUUAUAUGUAAAUGUCCCCCAAAACAGAAAGGGAUCCUACAUGGGAAUGAGGCAGAAG